UCCCCUGUAGCUCAAUGGCAGAGCAUCCGGCUGUUAACCGGAGGGUUGUAGGUUCGAAUCCUACCAGGGGAGCCG
RNAcentral lists this transfer RNA (75 nucleotides) under Rubrobacter xylanophilus DSM 9941. Its description in RNAcentral is "tRNA-Asn-GTT-1-1". It matches the Rfam family "tRNA". From Rfam's summary of the family: Transfer RNA (tRNA) molecules are approximately 80 nucleotides in length. Their secondary structure includes four short double-helical elements and three loops (D, anti-codon, and T loops). The record is from RNAcentral. Lineage: Bacteria; Bacillati; Actinomycetota; Rubrobacteria; Rubrobacterales; Rubrobacteraceae.